Molecule: ribosomal RNA, 253 nt
Filed under: uncultured bacterium
Lineage: Bacteria
Description: partial 16S ribosomal RNA
Rfam family: Bacterial small subunit ribosomal RNA
Source: RNAcentral
UACGUAGGGUGCAAGCGUUGUCCGGAUUUAUUGGGCGUAAAGAGCGUGUAGGCGGCCUGAAAGGUCAGCUGUGAAAACUCGAGGCUCAACCUCGAGACGUCGGUUGAAACCAUCUGGCUAGAGUCCGGAAGAGGAGUGUGGAAUUCCCGGUGUAACGGUGAAAUGUGUUGAUAUCGGGAGGAACACCCAUGGCGAAGGCAGCAGACUGGGCAUCACCUGACGCUGAGGCGCGAAAGCGUGGGUAGCAAACAGG